RNAcentral lists this transfer RNA (72 nucleotides) under Sphaerodactylus townsendi. Its description in RNAcentral is "tRNA-Pro". It matches the Rfam family "tRNA". Rfam says of the family: Transfer RNA (tRNA) molecules are approximately 80 nucleotides in length. Their secondary structure includes four short double-helical elements and three loops (D, anti-codon, and T loops). Lineage: Eukaryota; Metazoa; Chordata; Lepidosauria; Squamata; Sphaerodactylidae. The record is from RNAcentral.
GUCAGUGUGGUGUAGUGGUUAGUGUUUCUGACUUGGAUUCAGAAGCCUUAAGUUUAAACCUCCACUCUGGCA